This 511-nucleotide long non-coding RNA is filed under the name Mus musculus (house mouse). Its description in RNAcentral is "predicted gene, 50475". The record is from RNAcentral. Lineage: Eukaryota; Metazoa; Chordata; Mammalia; Rodentia; Muridae.
GGGCUCGGGUGCAGCCGGGGCUGCGGGGCUCCUGCAGCCUGCGCGCGCUCUGCUCGCCCGCCCGCCCGCCCACCCGCGCGGGCCCCCCUUGCGAUCGCGGCCGGGACUUCCUCAGCCGGCACUGGAGCUGCAGCAGGAGAGACUUGAGCUAGACUCUGGGAAAAACCGCUCUGGCCGAGACCAGCCAGUCAGAGCAGAGGAGGCAACGGCGGACUUUGUCCAGGAUUCUUCUCCACUCCUCCAGAAGAGGCCUCCCCCUCCCCCCACGGCCGGGCUAGAGCCGGGGCUGGAGGCAGGGGACUGCCAGUGCUGGACGCAGGUCCUCGCCGGACGGACUCUCCUCCUGGAUCGCUCGCCGGCCCAGGCAAGGCUGUUCCCAGAUUGCGGUGUUUCCGAUUCGGGCUCCCGGGGAUGAAUCAUCCCCCUUUCCCGCCGCCUGGCCUCUUUUCCAGCCUCCUCCGCCCGAGGCCUCCGUGGGCCGCGUCCGGGCCAGAACAGCACCGCCCCGGGG